This 279-nucleotide long non-coding RNA is filed under the name Rattus norvegicus (Norway rat). Its description in RNAcentral is "long non-coding RNA NONRATT010886". The record is from RNAcentral. Lineage: Eukaryota; Metazoa; Chordata; Mammalia; Rodentia; Muridae.
AAACUUUGAAGGCUAAAAACAAGGCAAAACCAGUUACUACUAAUCUUAAGAAGAUAAACAUUAUAAAUCCUGAAAAAGUCAACAGAAUGAACAGAGCUUUUGUAAAUAUACAGAAAGAACUAGUAAACUUUUCAAAAAGCCUUCCUCUUAAGUCUGUGCAAAAAGAGCUGAAGCACCAUGAAAAUGAGCCAGCUAACGUUGACGAAGCGACAUGACUAAUGUAGUACAGUGACAGCGUAUCACAUUUCCCCAAAGAUCAAUAAAUUCAAUAUUUCAUAC